CAGAUAUUGGUCGCCUAACACUGGAAGUCCUCAUGCUCGCUCUCAGAUUCUGUCUUGUCUUUAUCAAUUUUCUGCAUUUUCUUAUUUUUCUUCUCCUUCAGACUCAAGUGAAGAGGCAUGUGAAAGCGACAAUAAAUCUAAAAACCAUACAUGGUCAGACUCUGAUGAUGACAUUCAUUCAUUUUUUGACAAAUAAUCACUCUUAAGAAGAAACAGUUUUAGAGAAUGAUAAGUGUUCUAGCAAUGUGAUAUUCUAACGAUUAAGAAGGAAUAUAUAGGAGAUAAAUUAAGAUUACUUGAAAUGGUUAUGUGAAAAGGGAGUAUUUGUUUAAUUGAUUUCACUAAACCAAAGUAAGACUUAAAUGAAAGUGUGCAGAAUGGAAAUUAAGGAUUUGCAUAGUGUUCAAAUUCAACAAAUGAAAAAUGUGCUGUACAUCAAUAAAUAUUUUUGAUAUUUGCA
Molecule: non-coding RNA, 460 nt
Organism: Pelobates cultripes (western spadefoot toad)
Lineage: Eukaryota; Metazoa; Chordata; Amphibia; Anura; Pelobatidae
Source: the annotation of a GenBank genome assembly